UAAUACGGAGGGUGCGAGCGUUAAUCGGAAUUACUGGGCGUAAAGCGCGCGUAGGUGGUUUGAUAAGCUAGCUGUGAAAGCCCCGGGCUCAACCUGGGAACUGCAGUUAGAACUGUCUGGCUAGAGUACAGUAGAGGGUGGCGGAAUUUCCUGUGUAGCGGUGAAAUGCGUAGAUAUAGGAAGGAACAUCAGUGGCGAAGGCGGCCACCUGGACUGAUACUGACACUGAGGUGCGAAAGCGUGGGGAGCAAACAGGAUUAGAUUCCCUGGUAGUCCACGCCGUAAACGAUGUCUACUAGCCGUUGGGAGACUUGAUCUCUUAGUGGCGCAGUUAACGCGAUAAGUAGACCGCCUGGGGAGUACGGCCGCAAGGUUA
RNAcentral lists this ribosomal RNA (376 nucleotides) under uncultured Gammaproteobacteria bacterium. RNAcentral describes it as "bacterial SSU rRNA". It matches the Rfam family "Bacterial small subunit ribosomal RNA", at positions 521 to 896 of the family's 1533-position model. The record is from RNAcentral. Lineage: Bacteria; Pseudomonadati; Pseudomonadota; Gammaproteobacteria.